Molecule: ribosomal RNA, 253 nt
Filed under: uncultured bacterium
Lineage: Bacteria
Description: partial 16S ribosomal RNA
Rfam family: Bacterial small subunit ribosomal RNA
Source: RNAcentral
UACGUAGGGUGCGAGCGUUAAUCGGAAUUACUGGGCGUAAAGCGUGCGCAGGCGGUGGCUCAAGCCAGGCGUGAAAUCCCCGGGCUUAACCUGGGAAUGGCGUUUGGGACUGGGUCGCUAGAGUGUGGCAGAGGGAGGUGGAAUUCCACGUGUAGCAGUGAAAUGCGUAGAUAUCUGGAGGAACACCGGUGGCGAAGGCGGCAUCCUGGACCGGUAUUGACGCUGAGGCGCGAAAGCUAGGGGAGCAAACGGG